RNAcentral lists this unclassified non-coding RNA (296 nucleotides) under Bombus terrestris (buff-tailed bumblebee). Its description in RNAcentral is "misc RNA ENSBTSG00005029358.1". Lineage: Eukaryota; Metazoa; Arthropoda; Insecta; Hymenoptera; Apidae. The record is from RNAcentral.
ACGAAGGCUCCGAGAUAUUGGUUUAAUUUUCGGAUCUCGACCAGGUUGUCGUUGAUCGAUGCGGUGGUCAUGAUCUGUUGAGAAUGAUAUUUCUUUUUAAAUAAUUUUGCGUCGUCGACGAUGGAAAAACAAGUCGGCUCUAUGAAAUGAGAUCGUGGUCGAGCCGAGUUCCGAUUUCGACGUGGCACAAUAUCGACUUGGGAUCUCGUAAAAUCAAUCGUAGUCGCCAUUCCAUAUUUACCCGAUUAUUUUGAAGAUUUGUAUACGGAGAUUCGUUUCGGUGCCUUUUAAUAAUG